AGACAAUAGAGGCAGCCCACGUAUGACGUCGGCUGACUGGUGUGUGCAGGCCACGAAAUAUAUUGGCAUCCCACAUUUGACGACGGGGACCGUAGCGUGCAGGCCGAAGGCGGUGUAGGCAUGCCACGUCCGACGUCGGCUGAUCGAGUUGUGCAGGCCAUGGAUGAUGGUGCCAGGCCACAUCCAACAUCAGCAGACUGAUGUGUGAAGGCUACGGACGAUGCUGGCAGGUCAUAUCCGACGUCGGCUGACCGAUAUGUGCAGGCCACGGAGGCUGCGGCCAGGCCACGUCAUACGUCGAUCAACCAAUUUGUGCAAGCUACGAACGAUGUGGGCAGGCCACGUCCGACGUCAUCUGAUCGAUCUGUGCAGGCCAAGGACGAUAGUGGCAGCCUAUACGUCCGACGUUGGUUGACAGUUGUGUGCAGGACAAAGGCGAUGCGGGGAGGCCACGUCCCACGUCGGCUGACCGUUGUGUGCAGGCCAAUGGAGAUGCCGGCAAGCCACGCCCGACUUCCGUUGACCGAAGUGUGUAGGCCUAGGGAGAUCUGGGCAAGCCACGCCUGACGACGACUGAGCGAUGUGCACAGGCCACGGUCAAUGCGGGCUUACCACGACCAAAGUCGGCUGAGCGAUUUGCACAGGUCACGGCCGAUGAGGGCAGUCCAUGACCAAUGUCGCCUGACCGGUAACGCAUGUCGUUAGCCGACGUCGCUUGCCCGAUACGCACAGGCCACGUUAGAUGCGUGCAGGUCUUGGCUG
RNAcentral lists this long non-coding RNA (762 nucleotides) under Solanum tuberosum (potato). RNAcentral's name for it is "long non-coding RNA (STUB_LNC000642)". Lineage: Eukaryota; Viridiplantae; Streptophyta; Magnoliopsida; Solanales; Solanaceae. The record is from RNAcentral.